RNAcentral lists this ribosomal RNA (375 nucleotides) under uncultured bacterium. RNAcentral describes it as "bacterial SSU rRNA". It matches the Rfam family "Bacterial small subunit ribosomal RNA", at positions 524 to 898 of the family's 1533-position model. The record is from RNAcentral.
GACGAACCGUGCGAACGUUGUUCGGAAUCACUGGGCUUAAAGGGCGCGUAGGCGGGCUGUCCAGUCUGGGGUGAAAUCCCGCGGCUCAACCGUGGAACUGCCUCAGAUACUGACGGCCUCGAGGGAGAUAGGGGCAUGCGGAACUGUAGGUGGAGCGGUGAAAUGCGUUGAUAUCUACAGGAACUCCGGUGGCGAAGGCGGCGUGCUGGAUCUCUUCUGACGCUGAGGCGCGAAAGCUAGGGGAGCAAACGGGAUUAGAUACCCCGGUAGUCCUAGCCCUAAACGAUGGGUACUAGAUAGUAGAUGAGAUAUGCGUUUACUGUCGAAGCUAAAGUGCUAAGUACCCCGCCUGGGGAGUAUGGUCGCAAGGCUGAA